Molecule: non-coding RNA, 153 nt
Organism: Triticum urartu
Lineage: Eukaryota; Viridiplantae; Streptophyta; Magnoliopsida; Poales; Poaceae
Source: Rfam
CAUGUACUUGCUCCGUUUCGAAUUACUUAUUUUAGAUUUGUUUAGAUACAAAGGUAUCUAGCACUAUGAAGAUAUUUAGUAUUAAAAUGAGUCUAGAUACAUUCGUAUUUAGAUAAACCCAAGAGAAGUAAUUUGAAACGGAGGGAGUAGUAG